This 253-nucleotide ribosomal RNA is filed under the name uncultured bacterium. RNAcentral's name for it is "partial 16S ribosomal RNA". It matches the Rfam family "Bacterial small subunit ribosomal RNA", at positions 524 to 776 of the family's 1533-position model. The record is from RNAcentral.
UACAGAGGGGGCAAGCGUUGUUCGGAAUUACUGGGCGUAAAGGGCGCGUAGGCGGCCCGCUAAGUCGAACGUGAAAUCCCCGAGCUCAACUCGGGAACUGCGUCCGAUACUGGCGGGCUUGAAUCCGGGAGAGGGAUGCGGAAUUCCAGGUGUAGCGGUGAAAUGCGUAGAUAUCUGGAGGAAUACCGGUGGCGAAGGCGGCAUCCUGGACCGGCAUUGACGCUGAGGAGCGAAAGCUAGGGGAGCAAACGGG